This is a long non-coding RNA of Canis lupus familiaris (dog), 1911 nucleotides long. RefSeq lists it as uncharacterized. Lineage: Eukaryota; Metazoa; Chordata; Mammalia; Carnivora; Canidae. The transcript has 4 exons. The record is from RefSeq and is a predicted model, not a curated record.
CUCUUUCUCUCUCUGUGUCGCUCAUGAAUAAAUAAAAUAUUUUUUAAAAAUUCCCUGUCCACUGACUGAGCACCUAUUAUGAGCCAAGUGAUGGGGACACACAUGGAUGUCACAAACACCAUCACUCUCCCAGCACACGAUCUGAAGGAGGAAUCUAACACAACUUCAAGGAGAAUGUGCCCCCUCCACGGAUGGAGGUAUGUCUUAGUGUUGGGUAAUCAGGAGCUAAUGCUGAAUGAAGGAGGAGCUGGAGCAAAUCGAACAUCCUAGACAGUGGGACAUCUACAGUGGGACAUCUCCGACAAUGGGCAGUGCAAAAGCCCUGGGGCAAGACACCAGCUGGCCACAUUGAUGGAGAGAGCAGUCACAGAGAGAGAGAGAAAGGCAGAGACACAGGCAGAGGGAGAAGCAGGCUCCAUGCACCGGGAGCCCGACGUGGGAUUCGAUCCCGGGUCUCCAGGAUCGCGCCCUGGGCCAAAGGCAGGCGCCAAACCGCUGCGCCACCCAGGGAUCCCUACCCUUCUUGUUUAAAACAACCUGCAACUCGGUUUCAUGUUUGGUCUUUACUUGAAGACCCAGGGAACUCCAAGCUAGUGGAUGAAACGGAAAGCCCCAAAGAAAGAAUAAAGGAGUUAAGCAGGAAGCAGAAAGGGGUGCUCGGCGGGCCGCAGGGAGGGGACCCACACCCCGUCCUCCGGGCGGGCACUGGCGUUUUCCAGUCUCCCAAGACCAUUUUACGGACGAGGAAACGCGUCGUCAGCUCCCUUCAGCAGCUGAUGCAGCCAGACCGACGGAGCCUGCUUUACGACCGGUGGCCCUGUUGACUGCACCCGGAGGCUGCAGUGUCCCCAGCUUCCCGCAGGCCCGGAAGAGCCGCGCAGCCCAGAGUUCCUUGAUUGACCGUCCAGAGUGAGCCCGGAAGGGCGCCCGAGCAAGGAGAAAACAACUCACACCACGUUCCCCCACCCCCGGCCGGGCCAGAGCCCUGCCCUUGCCCCAUGUAAUGUGCAUCUGCUGUAUACCCAGGCCCAGCACCAUCAUUCAGCCAUUCCAUCACCCUCUGUGGAGCACCUACUGUGUUGUGUGCAGGGCCUCUGUGGUAGGCCAGGGUUUUCCACCAUCCCUCAUCACCUCCUCAGUUGAUGCUCCCCUAUGGGCCAGGAAAUACCCACCACAAUGAAGAAGUCCGCUUUAGGCUGAUGUCACAAUUUCUCCUUUAGGUCGACCCCCUUUUCUGUUUUUACUUAAGUAAAUAUAUUUCAAAAGGGAAACUUAAUGUCACCACCAAGAAUGGAAAACCAGUUUAUCUUGCCAUAAAUAGAAAGAAAUUGAAAAAACGAUGAAAUGAGAGCAAAACCCAGGAAUUCCUUCCUCGGGGACACUCUGGGCCAGGCCCAGAGCGGGAAUGUCUAAAUAUCCAGAAAGCGUUAAAAGCAGGGAAGCCCCAAGCCAAGCCAAAGAAGGGUGCAGGAGAGGCCACGGGAAUCCACUUUGUGGUUUUGUUUCUGAGGGCCCCAGCACACAGUAGGUGCUCAAUAAUGUGCCAAGCCUUGGCAGUGAGCACCUACUAUGCGUGGGGUUUACCUGCAUCCACCAGCAUCCUUUCAGGGCCUUCGAGUUUAUAGACCCAUUUCCAGGGUCACAAAUGAAGGUGGUGGUGGUGGCAGGUAGCAGGGACCCCACAGGGCCUCUCUGGGGAGACUUCAGUUUGGUUCAGAUAAAUGGAAGCUCCCCGCUUCCGCCUCAAGACCUUGGGGCUGUCCCCACCCUCAGUCCUGUGGCUCCUGACAGGCUUCUGCAAUGAACUAUGGGCCCCUGACGUCCUGCUCAGGCUGCCCAGGGAUUGGGGGGGGAGGGGGGCGGAAUGUGUACAUCAAUGAAUAUGAAUUAAAUAAGUAAAUGAAUUAAUGA